This is a long non-coding RNA of Alexandromys fortis (reed vole), 450 nucleotides long. RefSeq lists it as uncharacterized. The record is from RefSeq and is a predicted model, not a curated record. Lineage: Eukaryota; Metazoa; Chordata; Mammalia; Rodentia; Cricetidae. The transcript has 4 exons.
CCACAGAAUUUACAGAACCAAACAGAGAGAGGUCUAGGGAGAAAAUGACCAGAAUCAUCUGAAGUAUCGAAUCUGAACCUGGCCUUAAUGCUACAGAAGUCAACCUGGAAGACACUGGGAGCUUGAUAGAACUCAGAGUUAUGUGAGAGGAAGAAAACUUGGUGGAGAAAAUACCCUCAUCAGAAUGGUCUGAAGAGUACAUGAUCUGUGUCUAUAAUUGCAUCACCACACUCAGCCCUUGAAACCAUUUCCCCUCAACUCUGAACACCAUUGCCAAGACCACACUGGUCCUCUUUACUUCCAAACCCCCUCACAUCCCCGCCCCCCAGCAUCACUGUCAUACCAUCCAGUACUGCCAUUUUCCCAUACACAUGAUGGAAGGAAAAUCACGUGAUACUGCCUGCUGAGCAUCUACCUCACUUUCCUGCAACCAGCUGGAGAAGAGCAAAG